Molecule: ribosomal RNA, 254 nt
Filed under: uncultured bacterium
Lineage: Bacteria
Description: partial 16S ribosomal RNA
Rfam family: Bacterial small subunit ribosomal RNA
Source: RNAcentral
UACAUGGGGUGCAAACGUUGCUCGGAAUUAUUGGGCGUAAAGCGCACGUAGGCGGUUCGUUAAGUCGGACGUGAAAGCCCUCGGCUCAACUGAGGAAGUGCACCCGAAACUGGCGAGCUUGAGUACGAAAGAGGAUCGCGGAAUUCCCGGUGUAGAGGUGAAAUUCGUAGAUAUCGGGAGGAACACCGGUGGCGAAGGCGGCGACCUGGUCCUUUUACUGACGCUGAGGCGCGAAAGCGUGGGGAGCAAACAGG